AGUGAACGCUGGCGGUAGGCCUAACACAUGCAAGUCGAACGGCAGCACAGUAAGAGCUUGCUCUUACGGGUGGCGAGUGGCGGACGGGUGAGGAAUACAUCGGAAUCUACUUUUUCGUGGGGGAUAACGUAGGGAAACUUACGCUAAUACCGCAUACGACCUACGGGUGAAAGCAGGGGAUCUUCGGACCUUGCGCGAUUGAAUGAGCCGAUGUCGGAUUAGCUAGUUGGCGGGGUAAAGGCCCACCAAGGCGACGAUCCGUAGCUGGUCUGAGAGGAUGAUCAGCCACACUGGAACUGAGACACGGUCCAGACUCCUACGGGAGGCAGCAGUGGGGAAUAUUGAACAAUGGGCGCAAGCCUGAUCCAGCCUUACCGCGUGGGUGAAGAAGGCCUUCGGGUUGUAAAGCCCUUUUGUUGGGAAAGAAAAGCAGCAGGUUAAUACCCCGCUGUUCUGACGGUACCCAAAGAAUAAGCACCGGCUAACUUCGU
RNAcentral lists this ribosomal RNA (491 nucleotides) under uncultured bacterium. RNAcentral's name for it is "partial 16S ribosomal RNA". It matches the Rfam family "Bacterial small subunit ribosomal RNA", at positions 29 to 506 of the family's 1533-position model. The record is from RNAcentral.